CCUACGGGACGCACCAGUGGGGAAUAUUGGACAAUGGGCGCAAGCCUGAUCCAGCCAUGCCGCGUGAGUGAAGAAGGCCUUAGGGUUGUAAAGCUCUUUCACCGGUGAAGAUAAUGACGGUAACCGGAGAAGAAGCCCCGGCUAACUUCGUGCCAGCAGCCGCGGUAAUACGAAGGGGGCUAGCGUUGUUCGGAAUUACUGGGCGUAAAGCGCGCGUAGGCGGAUAGAUAAGUCAGAGGUGAAGUCCAGGGGCUCAACCCCGGAAUUGCCUUUGAUACUGUUUAUCUUGAGUGCAGAGGAGGUAAGUGGAAUUCCGAGUGUAGAGGUGAAAUUCGUAGAUAUUCGGAGGAACACCAGCGGCGAAGGCGGCUUACUGGUCUGCAACUGACGCUGAGGCGCGAAAGCGUGGGGAGCAAACAGGAUUAGAUACCCGGGUAGUC
This 440-nucleotide ribosomal RNA is filed under the name uncultured bacterium. RNAcentral's name for it is "bacterial SSU rRNA". It matches the Rfam family "Bacterial small subunit ribosomal RNA", at positions 338 to 795 of the family's 1533-position model. The record is from RNAcentral.